AUUGAACGCUAGCGGGAUGCUUUACACAUGCAAGUCGAACGGUAGCACGAAGAAAGCUUGCUUUCUUUGGUGACGAGUGGCGAACGGGUGAGUAAUGUAUCGGAACGUACCCAGUAGCGGGGGAUAACUACGCGAAAGCGUGGCUAAUACCGCAUACGCCCUACGGGGGAAAGGGGGGGAUCGCAAGACCUCUCACUAUUGGAGCGGACGAUAUCGGAUUAGCUAGUUGGUGGGGUAAAGGCCCACCAAGGCGACGAUCCGUAGCUGGUUUGAGAGGACGACCAGCCACACUGGGACUGAGACACGGCCCAGACUCCUACGGGAGGCAGCAGUGGGGAAUUUUGGACAAUGGGGGCAACCCUGAUCCAGCCAUCCCGCGUGUGCGAUGAAGGCCUUCGGGUUGUAAAGCACUUUUGGCAGAGAAGAAACGACUCUGGAUAAUACCCGGGGUUAAUGACGGUAUCUGCAGAAUAAGCACCGGCUAACUACGUGCCAGCCGCCGCAGUAA
This 508-nucleotide ribosomal RNA is filed under the name uncultured bacterium. RNAcentral's name for it is "partial 16S ribosomal RNA". It matches the Rfam family "Bacterial small subunit ribosomal RNA", at positions 30 to 523 of the family's 1533-position model. The record is from RNAcentral.